ACUGUGGAGCGUACAAGAACUUGUGAGUAGUGUGUCACUUGCGACCACAAAAGCAUACACGAUGAAGCAGUAA
This 73-nucleotide non-coding RNA is filed under the name unclassified sequences. RNAcentral describes it as "RAGATH-18 RNA". It matches the Rfam family "RAGATH-18 RNA". From Rfam's summary of the family: Actinobacteria, Firmicutes, Fusobacteria, Thermotogae (1 example). Nearby to self-cleaving ribozyme genes The record is from Rfam by way of RNAcentral.